Molecule: ribosomal RNA, 913 nt
Filed under: uncultured bacterium
Lineage: Bacteria
Description: bacterial SSU rRNA
Rfam family: Bacterial small subunit ribosomal RNA
Source: RNAcentral
AACGAACGCUGGCGGCGUGGUUGAUACAUGCAAGUCGAGCGGGAAAGAGGCCUUCGGGCCUUGAGUAUAGCGGCGGACGGGUGAGUAACGCGUGAUCAAACUGCCCCCGAGACUGGGAUAGCCACUCGAAAGGGUGGGUAAUACCGGAUACGACCCUAGUAUUGCAUGAUGCUAGGAUGAAAAGGUUGGGAUUUUAGGACCUUCUGCUCGGGGAUGUGAUCGCGUCCUAUUAGCUUGUUGGUAGGGUAACGGCCUACCAAGGCAACGAUGGGUAGCCGGCCUGAGAGGGUGAACGGCCACAUUGGGGACUGAGACACGGCCCAGACUCCUACGGGAGGCAGCAGUGCUGAAUCAUUCGCCAAUGCGCGAAAGCGUGACGAUGCGACGCCGCGUGGAGGAUGAAGGCCUUCGGGUUGUAAACUCCUGUCAGGAUAUAGGAAACUGCCGUGGUUAAUAGCCGCGGCAUUGACCAUAUCCAAAGGAAGCACAGGCUAAUCUCGUGCCAGCAGCCGCGGUAAUACGAGAUGUGCAAGCGUUGUUCGGAAUUACUGGGCAUAAAGAGUGCGUAGGCGGUUCGGUCAGUCCAGUGUGAAAUCCCUCGGCUUAACCGGGGAAGUGCAUUAGAUACUGCCGGACUUGAGGAUGAAAGAGGCGAGCGGAAUUCCAGGUGUAGCGGUGGAAUGCGUAGAUAUCUGGGAGAACGCCGAAGGCGAAGGCAGCUUGCUGGGUCAUUUCUGACGCUGAGGCACGAAAGCUAGGGGAGCAAACAGGAUUAGAUACCCUGGUAGUCCUAGCUGUAAACGAUGGGCACUUUGUGCCGGGCCUUACCUAAAGGCUCGGUGCCGGAGCUAAUGCGUUAAGUGCCCCGCCUGGGGAGUACGGUCGCAAGGCUAAAACUCAAAGGAAUUGACGG